AGGGUGUAAACGCUGCAGACUUGGUGUUGGAGGCCCUUUGGGGGCAUUCAGUGCCGGAGAGAAGUUGUUAAGUCUGCUACUUGGGAGUACGUCCGCAAGGAUGAAACUUAAAGGAAUUGGCGGGGGGAGGCACCGCAACGGGAGGAGCGUGCGGUUUAAUUGGAUUCAACACCGUAAAACUCACCAGGGAAGACUGUUACAUGAAGGCCGAGAUGAAGACUCUGCUAGAUUUUCAGAGAGGUGGUGCAUGGCGUCAGUGACU
RNAcentral lists this ribosomal RNA (262 nucleotides) under uncultured archaeon. RNAcentral's name for it is "partial 16S ribosomal RNA". It matches the Rfam family "Archaeal small subunit ribosomal RNA", at positions 748 to 1008 of the family's 1478-position model. The record is from RNAcentral.